AUGCUAUGUAGUAAUUACAGUAGAGUCUCACUUAUCCAACACUCGCUUAUCCAACGUUCUGGAUUAUCCAACGCAUUUUUGUUAAAACUGCAAGGGAGAUUUAUGCCACCAGCUCUUACAUCUCUGCUAAGACUGAGCCAUAGGGGAAAUUCAGAUCUCCACCAAUCUAAGACUGAAAGAACCAUGGGCCAAAACAACACCCAGUAGUUCAAAGCCUUAGGCAACAAUCAAAAACAGCAACAUGUGAUUACAAGUUAAAGAUUCCUUAUCUGAAAUUUUGGAAUACCUACAUAUACAUAAUGAGUUAUCUUAGAGAUGGGACCUACAUCUAAGCACAGAUUUCAUUUAUGUUUUAUGUACCUCUUAUACACAUAGCCUGAAAGUAAUUUUAUAGACAUAAUAAUAGUUUAAAUAAUUUUGUGCAAUAAACAAAACAAGUUUGUAUACAUGCAUCAACCAGAAAGAAAUUUUUCUCUAUCUUAGCCACUCAUGUGGACAAUUUUGGAAUAUUUCAGAUUUCAAAAAUCUGGAUGAGAAAUGCUUAACCUGUAGUUGGUUAUGACUGGACAUGUCUUUUGCAAUUGCUUGCAUAUAAUCCUCAAUAAACAGCUUGCUUGCUGUAUUCUGAGGCUUCAGUGUGAGUUUAAGGUGCCUACGCAGCCUAGGGGUGCAACAGUUUGAAUAACCAGCCCAAUUUUUCUAAAUCCAAUUAUCACAGGGACAGAAACUCAGGUGAAAUCUUCUGAACAGGGGCACAAACAGCAAAACAAACACCACAAAGAUGUUUCCCAAGGACUAGGCUGUGUCACACCUCAGGUUAGCUUCACCUUGCUAAAGACACCAGGCUGCACACAGAAUGUAGUCUUUUGUAGUUUAUUAGGAAAUAGGGAAAAGAUAGUUCAUAAAAGGCAAAAGUUCAGUUCCAAAAGAUAGUUACAAAAACAAGGCUGUAAGAACAAAUCCAUGGAAACAUUAGGCAUGAAACAAGGUCCUUUCAAAAGAAGCCAAAGUCCCAGAAAUGAGAAUACAUCCAGGCUACAAGAUAAUACAGGAGAGCAGACUUGGUUCUUGAUUCAAGCGAGGAAAUUGCUUUGAUGAAGAUUUCCCUCUCAGCAGACUGUUUUAAUAGCAUAAAAUGAAGGCAUUUCUUUGCCCUUUGACCUCCCUCUUAUUUUCUAUUCUGAGACUUCUGCGCAACCCCCAAAAUUCCAAAUGACUAGCCCGAUCUAGAGAAGCGGCCUCAUCGCUUUCAAGGCCACAGGGCUCAUUAGUGUUAUCAGGCUGAGGCUGGGAGCUGCUCUCCCUUUCUGCUUCUUGCACCCUAAAACCAUAAUCAGUAACAACAUCAUUUCUUCCUGUGGGAAAGCCUCCCUGCUCCUCAUCUCCCACAGUAGGAACACUCUGCACCUGAAUCCCAUAAUUCCCAUCAGAGUCAUCUUGAAACUCAUCCUGAACCUGAAUGCCAUCAUCUUGAAACUGUAUCCCAGAAUCCUCAUCAGAGUCACACAAAGGCUGAGCCACAACAACAGCUGGUUAGCAGUCAGCUGCAACAAAUCACUACUGACUGAGAGGUCAUGAGUUUGAAGCCAGACUGGGUCAGAGUGAGCUCCUGACCAUUAAUAGUCUAGCUUGCUGUUGACCUAUGUAGCCCGAAAGAUAGUUGCAUCUGUUGAGUAGGAAAUUUAAGUACCACUUUAUAUGGGGAGGCUAAUUUAACUAAUUUAUGACAGAAGAAUGAAGAAGUACUCCAUCAAGGACUCAGUGUCACAAGUGGACGUGAAGUGGCAACCCCCCCUGUGGCUGGAAUCAAGCAUACCCUCAUGAAGCCAGAAGCUGGAAUGUUAAAUUGCCUCUGUGUCUGUCUAUAUAUGUUGUAUGUCUAAUGGCAUUGAAUGUUUGCCAUGUAUAUGUGCAUUGUGAUCCACCCUGAGUCCCCUUUGGGGUGAGAAGGACAGAAUAUAAAUACUGUAAAUAAUAAAUAAAUAAAUGCUAUCCAAAGCUAAAAACAAUAUAUUUUUGGCUGGAGUUACACUAUAAAAAGUAUCUGUUUCAACUUACAUAAAAUUCAACUUAAGAACAAACCUACAGAACUUACCUUGUUCAUAACUUGGUUACUGCUUGUACGCAACACCAGAGUGGGAUUUUUUGCCUCAUGUGUUACAAUAACUUGACUUGCAUUAAGUACUGUACAACUUGACUUCAAUAGUAGCCUGGUGUAGCAUUUGCUGCUCAGCUUCAGAAAGCCAAGAGAGAGAUGUGCGGAUCUGUUUAGCUGUGUAAAAUGGGGUGGAGAGACUUCUUGUAGCAUGAGGGGUCAGGUUUAAACUUCAGAUAAGUUCUCUGGGGCCACAUUGUAGUAGUGGGCAGGGCCAAAGACAACAAGCAUGGGGAACCCACCCAAUUCUCACUGUAUUGUAGCUUCACGGUCUUAGUGCCAGUAGCUCGGCCUUAAGACAGGCAUUUCAAGUUAAAUUUCAGCCCUUAAUCCCCAACAGUGACAAGCUGGAGGAAGGCGAGAGCCAUAUGUAUUUAUACUGGCAAGACUGCCAAUUCCUAUUCAGAUAAUAAUCCCCUUCUAUUCAUUUGCUGUCAUCUGGCAGUUUAACAUAGCUUUCAUGUUUUACUUCUGCUUUUGUUAAACAUUUGAAUGAAGUCAUUGGAUGAAAAGUCCAGAAUUAUGGUCAAAAGAUUUGGGGCCAUAUCUAUCAAAGCUCUUCCCUGCUCUCUCCUCUUACAUCUUUAAAUUACAAGAUGAAGCCAUGCUUGACCCUGCUGGACCAUGCCAUCAUGAAUGCUGAAUAGAUGUCCUGACACUCUUGACACAAGAAAAUUUUCUGCCUGCUCUCUGAGCUCUUUGAUAGAAAGGCCAAAUGGAAAGGAUGAUAACAAUUCAUAAAGAAAAUAGGACAGGAAAAUCACCUUUCAUCUGCUUCAGUUUUGAGAGAUAGAAAAUUAUAUGAUUCCAGGUAAUCAUUUUAAUCAGGCACUUAACCUAAAGUAAAUACAUGCAAUAACGGGAAACUGUAGGUGUGUUGUGCUGACUAGUUUUUUUUCUUUAUAAUUUUUUUUAACAGUACAUAAUUUAAGAAUAAUUUGCAAAUGUAAAAAACAGCUUGACAUGCCAUGCAGAUUGCAUAUUCACCUGAAAGAGAAAUAUAAAUCAUGUCUGAGGUAUGGUUUACCAUCUCCUAUGGAAGAUCCAAAAUAGACGUACUGGAACAAAAACCCUUUCUGGGAUAAUCUAAUACACAGUAAGGCCCCUUGCACACAGUUAAAUAAAAUCCCACAUUUUCUGCUUUGAACUGGAAUAUAUGGCAGUGUGAACUUAGAUAACCCAGUUUAAAGCAGAUAUUGUAGGAUUUUCUGCCUUGAUAUUCUUGGUUAUAGGGUUGUGUGGAAGGGCCCUGAGUGCUCUGAAAAUACAACAUGAUUUUUGAAAAAUAUGAUAACAUAGUUCUUCUUUUCAACUGAGAACUAAAACCACCCUUUCAAAGUAUUAAAAAGGUGGCUUCACCUACACUUUUCCUAUUAAACUGACAAGCAUGGGCAUGAUUCAGCCCAAGUUAAUACUUAUUAAUCAUGUGUUCAAAUUUCCUCUGUAGAAAUGAGUAGGACUUAGAAGUAUUCAUGCUUACGUGAGUUGUGCCUACUGUGAAAAAUAUAAAUCACUGAUUUCUUAAACUGUAAAAUUCUAACUGAUUACUUAUUGACUUCAAUAAAGACGACUGGGGUCUUCCACUGAAAUAUUUAUGUAUGUAAAAUUGUCCUUCAUUUUAAUUAUUGUAUUGUUCUUACUUUCUUUUUUGCAUUACAAAUGAGAUAUGUGCAGUGUGCAUAGGAAUUUGUUCAUGUUUUUUUAGUUAGUUCACACAAACAUUCUCUCUCCAUUUGCCACUGGCCCGGCCCAUCUGUCAGAUUUUAAAAUGCAAUGUGGCCCCUGUGUCCAAAUAUUUGCCCAUGCUGAAUAUAUAUACAUUAUAUAUAAUAUAAUGUAAAAUAUAUAAUAUAAUAUAUAAACAUUUCUUGGGACUCCAUGAUAAACGUUUCCUACAAAAAGGGCUCCACGGAUGACAAAGUUUGAAAACACUGAUUAUUCACACAUUUAAACAUCUGGUUUGAUACUGACUGCAUUUAUUGAAAAUGUAUGCAUUUUCCCUUGGAGGACAUUUCUUUAAGGCUUGGAAGAAGAUUCAGCUGGCAUAUAUUUAAUAUAUCAAUUAGCCAUUUUUACAUUGUGAAGUAGGAAGGAUACCCAUACUUGAAUAUGAUUACUCUGAAUAUUCUGAUAUUAUAUUUACAAAUCUUGUUUAAUUGUUCUUUUAUAUGUUUACUUAGUAAAGCUGUAAUUUUAUUUCUUUUGUUAAGUAUCUGUCUUCAAAUGUUUUUGAAUUUUUCAAGGUGCCUAACUUGUUAGGUAUAAUACAAAAAUAAAAACAGCUGUUUCAAAGCUAUGGACAUAGUUAAGUUUACUUCCAUUUACAUGAACUGACCCUAAGUAUACUAUUUAUACUAUUAAGUUUAUAUAUACAUAUUAAUAUUUUUUGCAUUCAUGUUCUAGAAGGCAUACAUACAAUUAAAGGACUUCCUCUUCUCCCAGAAACUUUACAGUAAAUCAUUUCCUACAGAUAAUUAUGUAAAAUUAAAGUAGCAGUGUUUUGGCUAUAUUGGCAACUGGUAAAUGUCCUUGGAAAAUACUUAUUACUACUUAACUCAACAUCCUGUCUUUGUAGAAACAAUAAGGUCAAGGGCUCUUCUGAAGGCUUAUGUUAAUGAUCCCUAGCCAGCUGCCUAGAAAAAUGGUUUCUAGCAUCACAUCUUCUACAGUAUUUGAAAGAAGGGAAUUUGCCCCUGCAUAAGAUCAUCAGGGAAAUGCCAUAUAAUCUCAAACAACAGAAUACCAGUGCUGUCACUACAUACCUUCAAGUCAACUCUGUCAUGACUCAAUACUAUAGAAUCCCGGGAGUUGUAGAAUCAGAGAAUAAUAGAGUCAUAGAAUAAUAGAGUUGGAAGAGGCCAUCUAGUCCAACCCCCUGCCAUGCAGGAAAAGCACAAAGUACCCCUGAUAGAUGGCCAUCUAGCCUCUGUUUAAAAGCCUCCAAGGAAGGAGCUUCCACCACAUUCUGAGGCAGACUUCCACCAUUGAACAGCUCUGAUGAU
RNAcentral lists this long non-coding RNA (5157 nucleotides) under Anolis carolinensis (green anole). Its description in RNAcentral is "lncRNA (ENSACAG00000043883.1)". The record is from RNAcentral. Lineage: Eukaryota; Metazoa; Chordata; Lepidosauria; Squamata; Anolidae.